UUGAAUAAACUUGGUUGGGUUGCUGCUGGCUCUUCGGAGCAUGUGCACGCCUAUUCCAUCUUUAUACCCCUGUGCACCUUGUGUGGAUCUGAAGAACAUUUCGAUGGCAAUUUGCCCUUCGGUCAGGGAACUGCUGCGUCGCAAGGCGAGCUUUUCUUGUUAGUUCAGAUCUACGUUUUCCACACACCCUACUGAAGAAUGUAUCUGAAUGUUGCUUGUAUAAUAAAAACAUA
RNAcentral lists this unclassified non-coding RNA (233 nucleotides) under uncultured Entolomataceae. RNAcentral's name for it is "sequence contains ITS1". Lineage: Eukaryota; Fungi; Basidiomycota; Agaricomycetes; Agaricales; Entolomataceae. The record is from RNAcentral.